Molecule: ribosomal RNA, 433 nt
Filed under: uncultured bacterium
Lineage: Bacteria
Description: partial 16S ribosomal RNA
Rfam family: Bacterial small subunit ribosomal RNA
Source: RNAcentral
AACGAACGCUGGCGGCAUGCCUAACACAUGCAAGUCGAACGAGACCUUCGGGUCUAGUGGCGCACGGGUGCGUAACGCGUGGGAACCUGCCCUUAGGUUCGGAAUAACUCCCCGAAAGGGGUGCUAAUACCGGAUAAUGUCUUCGGACCAAAGAUUUAUCGCCUUUGGAUGGGCCCGCGUUGGAUUAGCUAGUUGGUAGGGUAAAAGCCUACCAAGGCGACGAUCCAUAGCUGGUCUGAGAGGAUGAUCAGCCACACUGGGACUGAGACACGGCCCAGAAUCCUACGGGAGGCAGCAGUGGGGAAUAUUGGAAAGUGGGCGAAAGCCUGAUCCAGCAAUGCCGCGUGAGUGAUGAAGGCCUUAGGGUUGUAAAGCUCUUUUACCCGGGAUGAUAAUGACAGUACCGGGAGAAUAAGCUCCGGCUAACUCCGUG